CGAGAAGCGCAGCGCGGGGGUCCUCCCGCUCAGACCCUCCUGUUAUAAAGGGCUGAUGGGUGGGGAUUCGCGAGGGAAUCUUUUUUCCCCUUCUCCGCCCUCUGCUUUGGGAACCCGGGAGGGGCGCUUCUGGGUAGCAGGGGAAAGGGGAGGAGACAGCUCUAGCCCGACACUCCAGCUAUCAGAUGUAAACACCCAGGCGCAGCAUGAAUUAACUGCGCGCGCCUACCAUUUUCUUUUACUGCCGCUCGAAUCCUUUCCCUUUCUCUCCGGUCCUCCAGCUCCAGGCUCGGACAAGCUGCAUUCCCGUUCUGCGUGCCUCAGCCCUCGCAGACUUCCGCGGAGCCUGGCGUGGGAGGCGGCUACUCUCCUCGGACGCGCUAAUUCCCGCGUGUGCCCGCGCCCCAGCAGAGGAGGAGCGUGGCUGUGAGUGCGCGCCGCGGGAGCCUCCCCUUGCGCUCCGCCGCUCUGCACCGGGUUCCCAGCCCGAGCCCCUCUCGCCCGGGUCCAGAGGCGACAGAUAUUCCUUGCGUCCCGUGGCGCCCAUUUGCACCAGACUCGCAAUCCCAGGUUUGGGGGAAAUCAAAGGGGCUAGAAGGGAAGAUGAGGGGACAGGGGACUCCAACCUCGAGAUUGGAUUUCUCGGAAGGCGGAGGAGGAGAUUUUGCGGACCCAGCCUGGAGAGUCAGCCGAGACCCUUGUGAAGAAAACCGUUAACUCUUUCCACGCCGAACAAACCGGAUGUUCAAAGCCUUUUGGGAUUUCCCCCAUUUAUUACUUGACUCCUAAUCAUUAUGCGCGUGCACACACGCGCACACUGCAUUGGUCUGAUCAAGAGGAAAGGAGUCUCGACGUCUUGGGGUUUUGUCUUUCUUGGAGGGGGUGUGUUUUGAGCUAAUUGACAAUUGGCUGUAUUUCAGGCAACAUUUUUUUUUUCCCUUCAUUGACUUCUGAGUACAGACUUUUAGUAGAUUUCUGAAUACUAUACGGAAGUUGCAUUCACCCUGUACACUCUGCAUGUGUAUACACACUUGUAGUACGCAUCGACCUCAUUUAUUGCCUAACUUGAAAUACGAUUCGUUCACUUUCCGAGUAGAUCAAUAUUUAAUAUGUAA
This is a long non-coding RNA of Cavia porcellus (domestic guinea pig), 1115 nucleotides long. RefSeq lists it as uncharacterized. The transcript is spliced from 2 exons. The record is from RefSeq and is a predicted model, not a curated record. Lineage: Eukaryota; Metazoa; Chordata; Mammalia; Rodentia; Caviidae.